RNAcentral lists this ribosomal RNA (497 nucleotides) under uncultured bacterium. RNAcentral's name for it is "partial 16S ribosomal RNA". It matches the Rfam family "Bacterial small subunit ribosomal RNA", at positions 28 to 507 of the family's 1533-position model. The record is from RNAcentral.
GAUGAACGCUGGCGGCGUGCCUAAUACAUGCAAGUCGAGCGAACAGACGAUGAGCUUGCUCCUCUGACGUUAGCGGCGGACGGGUGAGUAACACGUGUAUAACCUACCUAUAAUACUGGUAUAACUUCGGGAAACCGGAUCUAAUACCGUAUAAUAUAUUGAACCGCAUUGUUCAAUAGUGAAAUACGGUUUUUCUGUCACUUAUAGAUGGAUCCGCGCCGCAUUAGCUAGUUGGUAAGGUAACCGCUUACCAAGGCAACGAUGCGUAGCCGAACUGAGAGGGUGAUCGGCGACCCUGGAGCGGGGACACGGUCAAGGCUCCUACGGGAGGCAGCAGUAGGGAAUCUGCCGCAGUAGGCGAGAGCUUGACGGAGCGACGCCGCGUGAGUGAUGACAGUGUUCGGAUCGUAAAACUCUGUUAUUAGGUAAGAACCAAUGUGUAAGUAACUAUGGCCGUAUUGACGGUAACUAAUAAGAAAGCAACGGCUAACUACGUG